This 554-nucleotide long non-coding RNA is filed under the name Gossypium barbadense (sea-island cotton). Its description in RNAcentral is "long non-coding RNA (GBAR_LNC015233)". Lineage: Eukaryota; Viridiplantae; Streptophyta; Magnoliopsida; Malvales; Malvaceae. The record is from RNAcentral.
UAGUGCACCACCACCACCAAACCGUUACUCCAACGCCCCACCACCAAGCCAUUACCACAAUACACCACCCUCACCACCAAUGGAGCAACCACCUCGAACUCCAUCAGGCCAUUACUAUAAUAAUCCACCACCACCACCACAAUCACCAAACCAUUACUACAACAUACCUUCGCCACCACCACCAACAAAGAAUAUAUCACCAAGUACCCAUUAUGCACCACCUCCUCCCCCAUCUGUUCAUUAUGUUCCCACGCCUAGUCAUUCAUCUCCUCCACCGCCGCCACCUCAAGUUCAGUAUUUUCCACCUCCUUAUCCGUCAAGAGGGCAGCAAGCAAGUCCACCUCCACCACCAUCUCAUGAGCAUACGGGGACUCAAUCUCCACCUCCACCAGCAGAGUAUCAUCCACCUCCCAAGGAGUCAUGUCAUCCUAUCCCUCCUCCACCCCCACCAGAAUGCACAACUCCCGUAUCAGCACCACCACCGCCAAGCCAACAUUCAACCCCAUCACCAUAUGCACCAGCACCUGGUCAUCACUAUUCAAAACCAUCCCCAC